UCCUACGGGGGGCAGCAGUAGGGAAUCUUCCACAAUGGACGAAAGUCUGAUGGAGCAACGCCGCGUGAACGAUGAAGGCCCUCGGGUCGUAAAGUUCUGUUGUAAGGGAAGAACAAGUGCCGCAGGCAAUGGCGGCACCUUGACGGUACCUUGCGAGAAAGCCACGGCUAACUACGUGCCAGCAGCCGCGGUAAUACGUAGGUGGCAAGCGUUGUCCGGAAUUAUUGGGCGUAAAGCGCGCGCAGGCGGCCUCUUAAGUCUGAUGUGAAAGCCCCCGGCUCAACCGGGGAGGGCCAUUGGAAACUGGGAGGCUUGAGUAUAGGAGAGAAGAGUGGAAUUCCACGUGUAGCGGUGAAAUGCGUAGAGAUGUGGAGGAACACCAGUGGCGAAGGCGACUCUUUGCCUUCCUGACGCCUAGCAUUCCUUCCUUCUUC
RNAcentral lists this ribosomal RNA (434 nucleotides) under Exiguobacterium aurantiacum. Its description in RNAcentral is "bacterial SSU rRNA". It matches the Rfam family "Bacterial small subunit ribosomal RNA", at positions 337 to 869 of the family's 1533-position model. Lineage: Bacteria; Bacillati; Bacillota; Bacilli; Caryophanales. The record is from RNAcentral.